AUGGCUCAGGAUGAACGCUGGCGGCGUGCUUAACACAUGCAAGUCGAACGAAGCUAAGGGAGCUUGCUCCCAAAGCUUAGUGGCGGACGGGUGAGUAACGCGUGGGUAACCUGCCCUAUAGAGGGGGGAUAACGUUCGGAAACGAACGCUAAUACCGCAUAAACCAUAAGGAGCUGCAUGGCUCUGAUGGCAAAGAUUUAUCGCUAUAGGAUGGACCUGCGUUGGAUUAGCUAGUUGGUGAGAUAACAGCUCACCAAGGCGACGAUCCAUAGCCGGCCUGAGAGGGUGAACGGCCACAUUGGGACUGAGACACGGCCCAAACUCCUACGGGAGGCAGCAGUGGGGAAUAUUGCACAAUGGGCGCAAGCCUGAUGCCAGCGACGCCGCGUGAAGGAAGAAGGUCUUCGGAUUGUAAACUUCUAUCAGCAGGGAAGAAUAAAUGACGGUACCAGACUAAGAAGCCCCGGCUAACUACGUGCCAGCAGCCGC
RNAcentral lists this ribosomal RNA (489 nucleotides) under uncultured bacterium. RNAcentral's name for it is "bacterial SSU rRNA". It matches the Rfam family "Bacterial small subunit ribosomal RNA", at positions 19 to 518 of the family's 1533-position model. The record is from RNAcentral.